AGUGAACGCUGGCGGUAGGCCUAACACAUGCAAGUCGAACGGCAGCACAGUAAGAGCUCGCUCUUACGGGUGGCGAGUGGCGGACGGGUGAGGAAUACAUCGGAAUCUACUUUUUCGUGGGGGAUAACGUAGGGAAACUUACGCUAAUACCGCAUACGACCUACGGGUGAAAGCAGGGGAUCUUCGGACCUUGCGCGAUUGAAUGAGCCGAUGUCGGAUUAGCUAGUUGGCGGGGUAAGGGCCCACCAAGGCGACGAUCCGUAGCUGGUCUGAGAGGAUGAUCAGCCACACUGGAACUGAGACACGGUCCAGACUCCUACGGGAGGCAGCAGUGGGGAAUAUUGGACAAUGGGCGCAAGCCUGAUCCAGCCAUACCGCGUGGGUGAAGAAGGCCUUCGGGUUGUAAAGCCCUUUUGUUGGGAAAGAAAAGCAGCAGAUUAAUACCCCGCUGUUCUGACGGUACCCAAAGAAUAAGCACCGGCUAACUUCGUG
Molecule: ribosomal RNA, 492 nt
Filed under: uncultured bacterium
Lineage: Bacteria
Description: partial 16S ribosomal RNA
Rfam family: Bacterial small subunit ribosomal RNA
Source: RNAcentral